This 514-nucleotide ribosomal RNA is filed under the name uncultured bacterium. Its description in RNAcentral is "partial 16S ribosomal RNA". It matches the Rfam family "Bacterial small subunit ribosomal RNA", at positions 28 to 523 of the family's 1533-position model. The record is from RNAcentral.
GAUGAACGCUGGCGGCGUGCCUAAUACAUGCAAGUCGAGCGAAUGGAUUAAGAGCUUCUCUUAUGAAGUUAGCGGCGGACGGGUGAGUAACACGUGGGUAACCUGCCCAUAAGACUGGGAUAACUCCGGGAAACCGGGGCUAAUACCGGAUAACAUUUUGAACCGCAUGGUUCGAAAUUGAAAGGCGGCUUCGGCUGUCACUUAUGGAUGGACCCGCGUCGCAUUAGCUAGUUGGUGAGGUAACGGCUCACCAAGGCAACGAUGCGUAGCCGACCUGAGAGGGUGAUCGGCCACACUGGGACUGAGACACGGCCCAGACGCCUACGGGAGGCAGCAGUAGGGAAUCUUCCGCAAUGGACGAAAGUCUGACGGAGCAACGCCGCGUGAGUGAUGUAGGCUUUCGGGUCGUAAAACUCUGUUGUUAGGGAAGAACAGGUGCUAGUUGAAUAAGCUGGCACCUUGACGGUACCUAACCAGAAAGCCACGGCUAACUACGUGCCAGCAGCCGCAGUAA